RNAcentral lists this ribosomal RNA (497 nucleotides) under uncultured bacterium. RNAcentral describes it as "partial 16S ribosomal RNA". It matches the Rfam family "Bacterial small subunit ribosomal RNA", at positions 28 to 507 of the family's 1533-position model. The record is from RNAcentral.
GAUGAACGCUGGCGGCGUGCCUAACACAUGCAAGUCGAGCGGACAAACGAGGAGCUUUCUCGUCUGACGUUAGCGGCGGACGAGUGAUUAAUACGACGAUAACCUCCCUAUACGACUUUCUUGACUACGGGAUACCUGAGCUGCUACCAGUUAAUAUAUUGAACCUCUUGGUUCAUUGGUCUAAGACGGAUUUGCUGUCACUUAUAGAUGGUUUCGCGCCGGAUUAGCUAGUUGGUAGGGUAACGGCGUACCAAGGCGACGAUGCGUAGCCGACCUGAGAGGAUGAUCGGCGACACUGGAACUGAGACACGGUCCAGAAUACUACGGGAGGCAGCAGUAGGGAAUAUUCCGCAACGGGCGAAAGAAUGAUGGAGCAACGACGCGGGAGUGAGGAAGGUCUGCGGAUCGUAAAGCACUUAUAUUAGGGAAGAAGCAAGGUGGAAGCAUUUGUGGAUGGCUUGACGGUACCUAAAGAAGAAGCGACGGCUAACUACGUG